Molecule: ribosomal RNA, 1408 nt
Filed under: uncultured Bordetella sp.
Lineage: Bacteria; Pseudomonadati; Pseudomonadota; Betaproteobacteria; Burkholderiales; Alcaligenaceae
Description: partial 16S-23S ribosomal RNA intergenic spacer
Rfam family: Bacterial small subunit ribosomal RNA
Source: RNAcentral
UAACGGCAGCACGUGACUUCGGUCUGGUGGCGAGAGGCGAACGGCAGCAAUGAUCGAACGCUUAGUAGCGGAUAAUCUGAUGCUGAAAAGCGUAGCUUUAAUACCGCAUAAUAAUACCCUUCGGGGGAAAAAAAGUGGGACUCCUUCGGCCUCGCACCUGAUUAGCUACCGAUAUCGGAUUAGCUGAAGGUGGGGUAACGGCUCACCAAGGCGACGAUCCGUAGCUGGUUUGAGAGGACGACCAGCCACACUGGGACUGGAGACACGGCCCAGACUCCUACGGAGCAGCAGGGGAAUUUUGAUACUGGGGAAACCCUGAUCCAGCCAUCCUGCGUGUGGUGAUGAAGGCCUUCGGGUUGUAAAGCACUUUUGGCGUAGAAGAAACGGCACGGAUAUACCCGUGCAAUCGAUCAGCAUCGCAGAUUAAGCACCGGUUAACGCCAAAGCAGCAGCCGCGGUGGCUAUUGUAGGGUGCAAGCGUUAAUCGGAAUAUUGGGUAAAAGUGUGCAGGCGGUUCGGAAAGAAAGAUGCAAAAUCCAGAGCUUAACUCGAACCGUACUUUUGACCUACUUGAGCUGAGUGCUGAGGGAGGUGGAAUUCCGCAGUAGCAGCGGAAAUGCGUAGAUAUGCGGAGGAACACCGAUGGCGAAGGCAGCCUCCUGGAUAACACUUGACGCUCAUGCACGAAAGCGUGGGGAGCAAACAGGACAUUAGAUACCCUGUAGUCCACGCCCUAAACGAUGUCAAUUAUUGUUGGGGCCUUCGGGCCUGGUAGCGCAGCUAACGCGCAGUUGACCGCCUGGGGAGUACGGGUCGCAGAUUAAAACUCAGCGAAUGAUUGGGACCCGUGUACAAGGUGGAUGAUGUGGAUUAAUUCGACACCGGAAAACCUUUACCUACCCUUGACAUGUCUGGAACCUUGAAGAGAUCAGAGGCUCGCAAGAGGAACCGGAACACAGGUGCACAUGGCUACGUCGUCAGUUCGUGUUUUGAGAUGUUGGGUUAAGUCCCGCAACGAGCGCAACCUUGUCAUUAGUUGCUACGAAAGGGCACUCUAAUGAUCGCCGGUGACAAACCGGAGGAAGGUGGGGAUGACGUCAAGUCCUCAUGGCCUUAUGGGUAGGCCAGCACGUCAUAAUUAUCGUGGACAGGUCGCCAACCCGCGAGGGGAGCUAACCCCAGAAACCGGAUCGUAAAGUCCGGAUCGCAGCCUGCAAAUCGACUGCGUAAGUCGGAAUCGCUAGUAAUCGCGAUCGGGCAAUGUCGCGGUGAAUACGUUCCCGGGUCUUGUACACACCGCCCGUCAGCACCAUGGGAGUGGGUUUCAUCAGAAGUGGAAGGUUAGCCUAACCGUAAGGAGGGCGAUUACCACGGUAGGAUUCAGCGACUGGGCAGUCGUACGAAGGUA